GCUGGAAUGGCCGAGUCGUUAAGGCGAGUGAUUUGAAUACUCACUAUCACUUGGUGUUUCACCGCGUAGGUUCAAAUCCUGCUUCCAGCG
Non-coding RNA from Tephrocybe rancida, 90 nucleotides. Lineage: Eukaryota; Fungi; Basidiomycota; Agaricomycetes; Agaricales; Lyophyllaceae. The record is from the annotation of a GenBank genome assembly.